GAUUCCUGUAAAACCGGUCACCCCUUCGCUCCACGCUGGUAAAUCUGCAGAUAGGGAGUCGUUUGGCUGUCUCAGUUGGUUUCCAGUACGAGAGACCAGAACGCGUUUGACCCAUUCUGUACACGGUAGACCUGAGCCCUAGGACCAUGCCUCAUGAUGACUCCUUGCUGUCCCCAGUCCACCUGACUGUGCUGCUGCUCCAGUUUCAACUGUUCUGCCUGUGAUUAUUAUUAUUUGACCAUGCUGGUCAUUUAUGAACAUUUGAAUAUCUUGGCCAUGUUCUGUUAUAAUCUCCACCCGGCACAGCCAGAAGAGGACUGGCCACCCCACAUAGCCUGGUUCCUCUCUAGGUUUCUUCCUACGUUUUGGCCUUUCUAGGGAGUUUUUCCUAGCCACCGUGCUUCUACACCUGCAUUGCUUGCUGUUUGGGGUUCUAGGCUGGGUUUCUGCACAGCACUUUGAGAUGUCAGCUGAUGUACGAAGGGCUAUAUAUAAAUACAUUUGAUUUGA
This is a long non-coding RNA of Oncorhynchus keta (chum salmon), 510 nucleotides long. RefSeq lists it as uncharacterized. The transcript is spliced from 2 exons. The record is from RefSeq and is a predicted model, not a curated record. NCBI's taxonomy places the organism in Eukaryota, Metazoa, Chordata, Actinopteri, Salmoniformes, Salmonidae.